Callithrix jacchus (white-tufted-ear marmoset) is the source of this 1200-nucleotide non-coding RNA. The record is from RefSeq and is a predicted model, not a curated record. NCBI's taxonomy places the organism in Eukaryota, Metazoa, Chordata, Mammalia, Primates, Cebidae.
AACACUUUUGCUAAAGAUCAGUCUACUAAGAGAAGUGUUCUUUUAUUGCAGUGGCUCUAAAAUAUAAGAUUAUAGUUACUACCACAUUUCUAGCAUUGUGGCAUUAAAGCUUCUAAAUUGAAAUAGACUUACUUUCUGAAUUUGUCUUCUAUUAGAUCUAAGAAUACGUCAUAAAUUUUUUUGGCUUUGAUCACUAAUUUCCCAUUUUGAGUUGUUAUAUGUUGUGGCUGACUUUCAUAUUAUGUAAUCUCAGUAGCUAUCCCUAUAGUGACAAGAAGAUAUUUCUGUUUAAUUAGAAAUGAUUUCUGUAGUUUAGUGUAAUAUUCAUUAGCAAGAGACUAUGCCUCUGAUUAUUCUGAGUAGAAAUCACACUACUUUUGAAGUGUGUGAUACACACACCCCUUUGCAGUCAGUGACCUGUGUUCAUAAGUUUCCUGGAAAGAAUUUUGGGUCUUUUUUUUUUUCAUUUAUGCAUGAAUAGAUAGCUGUAGGUCACCUGACAUGUGUCACACACUGAUAGAAGUCCUGGCAGUAUAGCUAUAAAUUCAGGAACUUAUGUGCCCUCAAGGAAUUUACAUUCCAGGGCAGAGAUAGCAGUAAACAGAUAAACUGAGAUAAAAUGUCAGAUGAUGAAUAAUACUGUGAAAAAAAACAAGAUCAUGUGAAGAGUCAGAGAGAAUGCCAGGAUGUGGGUGGAAGAGAAAUGCCAUGUAUUUGUGGUGCUCAGAGAAGGACCCUGGUAAGGUGAGACUGGAGAUGAGGCCUGAGGGAAGUAAGGAAAUAAGCUGUGGACCUGUCAACCCAUGGCCCAUGACCUACUGACCCACGAAUCGGCCCGGCCCUCCAGUACACCAUGUCUGGCUCCUCCAGCAUCUCCGCUAUGAAGAAAGUGGUUCAAUAGCUCCAGCUGGAGGCCAGACUCAACCACGUAAAAGUUUCCCAGGCAGCUGCAGACUUGCAACAAUUCUGUCUGCAGAAUGCUCAACAUGAUCCUCUGCUGACUGGAGUAUCUUCAAGUACAAAUCCAUUCAGACCCCAGAAAGUCUGUUCCUUUUUGUAGUAAAAUGAAUCUUUCAAAGGUUUCCCAAACCACUUCUUAUGAUCCAGUGAAUAUUCAAGAGAGCUCCAUUUGAAGCCUGUACAAAAGCUUAUCCCUGUAACACUUGUGCCAUAAUAUACAAACUUCUAUUUCUGUCAGUC